UCUGGAAGCAAGCCUGAUAACUUCAAGGUCAUUGUUUCUUCUCACAAUUUUCAUAAUACUCCAUCUGCCGAGGCCAUUGCCAAUCUUGUUGCAAGAAUUCAAGCUAGUGGAGCUGACAUUGUCAGUAUUGCAACGACUGCUUUAGACAUUACAGAUUGUGCUCGUAUUUUUCAGAUUAUGGUGCAUUCUCAGGUCCCAAUAAUCGGAAUUGUUAUGGGUGAGAGGGGCUUGAUUUCUCGGUUGCUUAGCCCCAAGUUUGGUGGAUACCUGACUUAUGGUGCACUGGAGCAAGGUGCUAUAUCAGCUCCUGGACAACCAACUGCAAAGGAUUUGUUGGAUUUAUACAACUUCAGGCUUAUAAGGCCUGAUACCAAAGUGUAUGGCAUUAUUGGGAAACCUGUUGGUCACAGCAAGAGUCCUCUCUUGUUCAACGCAUCAUUUAAGUCCGUUGGCCUUAACGCAGUUUACAUGCAUUUUCUGGUGGAUGACGUGGAGAAGUUUUUCAACACCUAUUCAUCUAUUGAUUUUGCUUCUGGAUGCAGCUGCACUAUCCCUCAUAAGGAGGUUGCACUUAAAUGCAUGAAUGAAAUUGACCCCAUUGCCAAGAAAAUUGGAGCAAUCAACAACAUUGUCAGGAGACCUGAUGGGACUUUAAUGGCUUACAACACUGACUACAUUGGUGCCAUUUCUGCGAUCGAGGAUGGACUACGAGAACUAAAUGGCGCAGUCCCAGCAGGUACCUCACCCUUAUCUGGUAAACUGUUUGUGGUUCUGGGAGCUGGGGGAGCUGGCAAGUCACUUGCCUAUGGUGGUGCACAAAAAGGAGCAAGAGUUGUGGUUGCCAAUCGAACAUUUGAACGAGCUAAGGAGCUGGCUGACAAAGUUGGUGGCCAAGCAAUGACCCUUGCAGAAGUAGAACAUUUCCACCCAGAAGAAGGAAUGGUUCUUGCAAAUACCACAUCUGUGGGAAUGAAACCCAACUUUGACGCCACCCCAUUAGCAAAGCAUGCCUUGAAACAUUAUUGCCUAGUCUUUGAUGCCAUUUACACACCAAAAGACACAAGACUCUUAAGGGAAGCAAGAGAAAGUGGAGCUGUUAUCGUCUAUGGAACAGAAAUGUUGAUCCGUCAAGGCUUUGAACAGUACAAGAACUUCACUGGCUUGCCUGCCCCAGAAGAAUUGUUCAGGCAACUCAUGGAGAAACAUGCAUAAGAAGCAAUUUAAUUCCAAGUCUUGUCUACUGUUUUAGUUGAAACCAUCUCCUUUUCUGCCACAAGUUAUAGCUAGUGAUUUUAAUUACUAAGUUGUACCAAUAAAUUUUCUUUGAGAAUC
This 1332-nucleotide unclassified non-coding RNA is filed under the name Hevea brasiliensis (rubber tree). Lineage: Eukaryota; Viridiplantae; Streptophyta; Magnoliopsida; Malpighiales; Euphorbiaceae. The record is from RNAcentral.